This 480-nucleotide ribosomal RNA is filed under the name uncultured bacterium. Its description in RNAcentral is "partial 16S ribosomal RNA". It matches the Rfam family "Bacterial small subunit ribosomal RNA", at positions 28 to 507 of the family's 1533-position model. The record is from RNAcentral.
GACGAACGUUGGCGGCGUGCUUAAUACAUGCAAGUCCACUGAAGCAGUGGUAGCAAUAUCGCUGUGGAGGUGGCGCACGGGUGAGUAACACGUAGGUAAUCUGCCUUCAGGUCUGGCAUAACUCCGGGAAACCGGGGCUAAUAGCAGAUGAUGCAGCGGCUCGACAUCGAGACAGUUGUUAAAGCUAUGGCGCCUGAAGAUGAGCCUGCGUCUGAUUAGCUAGUUGGCGGGUAACGGCCCACCAAGGCAACGAUCAGUAGCUGGUCUGAGAGGAUGAUCAGCCACACUGGAACUGAGACACGGUCCAGACUCCUACGGGAGGCAGCAGUAAGGAAUAUUGCUCAAUGGGAGAAAUCCUGAAGCAGCAACGCCGCGUGAGGGACGAAGGGCUUUUGCUUGUAAACCUCUGUAGUGAGAGAAAAAAAUCCCAAUCUUUGGGACAUGAUGGUAUCUCAAAAGUAAGCCCCGGCUAACUACGUG